Molecule: ribosomal RNA, 253 nt
Filed under: uncultured bacterium
Lineage: Bacteria
Description: partial 16S ribosomal RNA
Rfam family: Bacterial small subunit ribosomal RNA
Source: RNAcentral
UACAGAGGGCUCAAGCGUUGUUCGGAUUCAUUGGGCGUAAAGGGUGCGUAGGCGGCGCGGUAAGUCGGGUGUGAAAUCUUGGAGCUUAACUCCGAAACUGCAUUCGAUACUGCCGUGCUUGAGGACUGGAGAGGAGACUGGAAUUUACGGUGUAGCGGUGAAAUGCGUAGAUAUCGUAAGGAAGACCAGUGGCGAAGGCGGGUCUCUGGACAGUUCCUGACGCUGAGGCACGAAGGUGAGGGGAGCAAACGGG